AUCAACCAGCAGGGUCUGCCACUAGAAGCUGUUGCCACAUUCUUUAUUUCUACAAUACCGGAACACAGCACAGUUCGUCACGCAGAGGUGGAAGGUGGUUUUAGGUGGAACCAAAGCGUAACUAUAUAUAAUAUAUGGGUGGAACAAAGUCACUUUGAGGUUGAAUAGCCUGUUAUUAUAAAGCAUAAUUCCCAUGAUUACGAUUCGGAAGAGCUGAAAUCUGGAAGGGGUGAAUUCUACAUGACAGAAUCUGGCAAUAGCAUAACUGCAAACGGAACAAUUCCUCAGCUGAAAGUAUAAGCACAUAUCUAGUCUUUGGUGACUGAUGAUUGAGAACGGUACUGAAACAGUGAAACUUAUAGUCGAAGAUGUUUUGAAAAUUGAAACAUAGACUAUACCUGUGGUGAACUGAAGCUUGGUAUAUUUGCUGUUUGCCAAAAUUUUCUCCUAGUAUUAAAUUUUGCCGGGUAUGCUGACAGCUGAACUAAGCGGCACAAAGAUAAAACACAAGAAAACUAUCAUAAUAUAUAUCAAAUUUGCAGUGUUUUUAUGUAGAUAAUAUACGGUACACAGUAUUCAGGGUGGCGUAAGAACCCGCUUUUGGAAUGUGAUAAUCAGCGACCCAUUUUUGAUUUUAGAACUAUAAGUUUGGCAGGGUUUUCUGAAAUGACAGAACUGAAAUGACUGCUCUUCGUGAGUUCAAUACAAGAGCAAAUCUGUUCUUAAAAAAUUUUAAAUCCCACAACUGUAUACAGUAUCUCGACGUCACGAAUCAUGCUGAAUACCCAAAGUCUUAACCAUGAUGGCUCAAUCAGUAUAGUGAUCUUCACUUCUGAAUUCAAUCAAGUGUGCAAACAACUAAUAAUGCAUUUAUUUCAUGGAUUUUAUGCGAGAACUGCCCUAGGACAAAAAAGAUUGUCAUUCCACAAAAAUGCUAAUGCCAAAUCUUUUUGUAACGUUGUUGCACAACAUUUUUAAACCAGACAAAAUUUAACUUUCAGACGUAUCAAUGCAUGGUAACUGUUGGUACUGUCAAUAAAUUGAAUAACAAGUUUAAGCAAUGCAAAUAUUUGGCAACAAAAACUGUCUCAAACAUUUUUCCAUAGGUGCUCUUGUUUUAUUGUCCUCUAUCUGUGAACUUCUCAUCAUUUUGUUGUCAGAAUAAUAAAUUUAAGGUGUGCUCCUCAAACAAUUUCAAAUCAUGCCUGAUGUAGUUUUGAUGUUCAAAGCGAAGUUUUUAUAUCUGUUAUUCUUAAACUACAAGUAACCAUUUGAAAUGUAUAUGCUGCCUGUGGAUUGAUUCUAUACAAUUCUUUAAUUAAAAUAUAUCUGCAUGUGUUAUUGAUUUGCCAGGACCACCCUAAUAAUAUCAUUUUAGUCAGUGACCCAAAUAUCAAUUAUAUUUGAAAUCAUCACUUGGCUUAUUCAGCAAUGUACUGUAAUUCAUCCCAUUUGACUUUUGUUAAGAAGGAGUAAUGUCACUAGAUUGUCAGUACAGUACAGUACAAAAAAAAGUGCUUGUGGAUCCAAAAAUCCUCAUUUGUCUCACUAUCAUUACUUCCAUCUGUAUAAAGUCUGUAUCAAUAUUCGUACUCUGAACAAGACUCAAAGACAAGCAGUGACUGAUAUCGGUCCAAAAUCAGCUAUCCAUUGUUUUACUCCAUGACGACAUAGGCAUUGUAACUCGGAUCUCACCAUGCUAAGAUGAUUAAGUCCUGCGCCUCAAUCACUAUGCCCUUCACACUAUGAGAAAGUUGUUGUAGAUGUUUUUUUAAUCAUACAUGUAGUAUGUGUUUUAGAUAUAAAUUUAUUUUUAUGCUGCCUUAUUAUAACGGCUUGCAAUGCACUUGGUGCUCAAAGAUUUUUCUUUUGAUGUAUAUUUUGUGAUUAGCCCAAAGAAUUUUCAUUGUCCUGUUAAAUGGUAUUCCAAUGUUCAUGGAAGUUUUCUCAAUGCAGUAUUAAAAUUACUUAAUCUUUAUAUUUCGAGAGUUACAAGAGAAUUAAGCAAAUAUUUACCAAGGCUUAGUGCCCAUGCGUAUAAACUUAAAGCUACCUUGUGCUAAAAUACAUAACAAGAUCACCUUGCUCUUUAAAGUUGUGUAUGUUGAAAUAUUUGCUAUUCAACACCUAUCCAUCAAUAGAAGUUGAACAAAAUUCCCCAUUGCUAUUUCUAGUAUGGAAUUAAAUUUAGUUAAUCAUUAUACUUGUGACCCUAAUAUCCCAGUUUGUUCUUCAAAUGGAGUGACAUUGUACACUAUGUAUUUGUUUGCAUAGUUGAGAAGGAAAAGAAUGUCAGUUCAUUGUGUGUACCUGUUUAUUCCUAUCUUUGUGUUUUGGGCAGCAUGCUUGAAAGUGACAUAUGUUCGUUUGGCUUGAAAUUACACAAAUCUCUUAAUAAGGAGUUCAACUACUCACAUAUUGCAUAUAUGGAAUAGAUCAUUAAAUUUGUAGAGAAUGUAAUUGUUUGUGCUGAAUUAUACCUUUAGGUGUUUGUUUAUUAUUAGUGCAUAAUUCGUUUUCACAUGGCUAGAUGAAACAUGACAUGAAUUUCAUAUUAUGAUGUUUUAAAAGCAUGCUAUACAAUGCAGAUUGCAUUUUGCGCAAUGCAGUUCUGCAAGAAUAACAAACUCGUUGAAACAGACUUCAAUGGAUGACCUGACUAUGUCACCAUCAU
Styela clava is the source of this 2674-nucleotide long non-coding RNA. RefSeq lists it as uncharacterized. NCBI's taxonomy places the organism in Eukaryota, Metazoa, Chordata, Ascidiacea, Stolidobranchia, Styelidae. The record is from RefSeq and is a predicted model, not a curated record.